AUCUUUGUUGUGGGCAGGGCUUUCUAACUUUGUAACCUUGCUGCUCCUACGAAGGGAAGGCCACGACUCCGCCAUUUUUGUAACGGGCGUUUCAAUUUAGUUUAAUUUAAGAUGCCCAGGACAGGAAGCAACACAGAUGAACAUUCUGAAGGCAGAGAAAUGGCAAUUCUAUGUACCCUUACAUGGGAUGAGACCCACUGGCCCCACUGAAAAGUACUCCUAAGUGAACAUUCAUAGAACCAGGCAGCACAGCGACAAAUACCAUAAUAAGAUAAUAUACGUGAAAGCUCUUUUUGCAUCUGUCUUAUUCAUGCUAACUUAGGAGUAAGUAGCUUGAAGAUGUUUAACUUGCGGAGGAACUAAAUGACAUCACUGAGCGCAUCCAUGAAAAGAUGUGCACCACUGCAUACCUGCAUGCUCACUCAGUCAUCUGCACAUGGGUGUUCCAAUGUGCUAUUCAUGGAUGAUCAAAAGGAAGCUGCCAAUUGUAGAUGGUGCCCUGAGUCUAACAACUGGUGGUUGAAGGAAGUUCAAGGGCCAGGACAAAUAAACUACCUCUUGGUAACAUCA
Molecule: long non-coding RNA, 570 nt
Organism: Podarcis raffonei (Aeolian wall lizard)
Lineage: Eukaryota; Metazoa; Chordata; Lepidosauria; Squamata; Lacertidae
Exons: 2
Source: RefSeq, a predicted model, not a curated record